GCCUAGAUAGCUCAGUCGGUAGAGCAGGGGAUUGAAAAUCCCCGUGUCGGCGGUUCGACUCCGUCUAUGGACACUA
RNAcentral lists this transfer RNA (76 nucleotides) under Pseudomonas aeruginosa BWHPSA016. Its description in RNAcentral is "tRNA-Phe". It matches the Rfam family "tRNA". Rfam says of the family: Transfer RNA (tRNA) molecules are approximately 80 nucleotides in length. Their secondary structure includes four short double-helical elements and three loops (D, anti-codon, and T loops). Lineage: Bacteria; Pseudomonadati; Pseudomonadota; Gammaproteobacteria; Pseudomonadales; Pseudomonadaceae. The record is from RNAcentral.